GUUGUGGGUACUGCCCGAAUCUACCAAAACAAGCAAUGGAUGGUCAUUUAUUGCCGCCCUCAAUUGCAUGGUUUUUAUAUUUUGCUUCCCAGUCAUAGCAUGUAAGGAUAAUUUUAGGUUCCUCGGAUGCAAGUUGAUCUUGCUCGACUAUAGUUCUGUCAUGAUCCUUUAUCUCCAACCAGAAUAAUUUCUUACAUUGAUGUCCAAAUGAGUAUAGUUCAUCAUAAUUAUAGCAUAGUCCUUUUGCUUGCCUUUUUGCCAUCUCUGCCCAACUGAGUUUCUUAACAAAAGGAGAGGACAUG
Molecule: unclassified non-coding RNA, 302 nt
Filed under: Hevea brasiliensis (rubber tree)
Lineage: Eukaryota; Viridiplantae; Streptophyta; Magnoliopsida; Malpighiales; Euphorbiaceae
Source: RNAcentral